RNAcentral lists this ribosomal RNA (520 nucleotides) under uncultured microorganism. RNAcentral's name for it is "bacterial SSU rRNA". It matches the Rfam family "Bacterial small subunit ribosomal RNA", at positions 9 to 511 of the family's 1533-position model. The record is from RNAcentral.
GAGUUUGAUUGUGGCUCAGGAUGAACGCUGGCGGCGUGCCUAAUACAUGCAAGUCGAGCGAACAGACGAGGAGCUUGCUCCUCUGACGUUAGCGGCGGACGGGUGAGUAACACGUGGAUAACCUACCUAUAAGACUGGGAUAACUUCGGGAAACCGGAGCUAAUACCGGAUAAUAUAUUGAACCGCAUGGUUCAAUAGUGAAAGACGGUUUUGCUGUCACUUAUAGAUGGAUCCGCGCCGCAUUAGCUAGUUGGUAAAGUAACGGCUUACCAAGGCAACGAUGCGUAGCCGACCUGAGAAGGUGAUCGGCCACACUGGAACUGAGACACGGUCCAGACUCCUACGGGAGGCAGCAGUAGGGAAUCUUCCGCAAUGGGCGAAAGCCUGACGGAGCAACGCCGCGUGAGUGAUGAAGGUCUUCGGAUCGUAAAACUCUGUUAUUAGGGAAGAACAAUAGUGUAAGUAACUAUGCACGUCUUGACGGUACCUAAUCAGAAAGCCACGGCUAACUACGUGCCAG